This is a long non-coding RNA of Sarcophilus harrisii (Tasmanian devil), 996 nucleotides long. The record is from Ensembl. NCBI's taxonomy places the organism in Eukaryota, Metazoa, Chordata, Mammalia, Dasyuromorphia, Dasyuridae.
CUAGUAGCAGUUGAAAAAGUAGUAGACCCUAGGUAGAUAAUCUGGGUCCAAGUCUUGGCUUCCACAUUUCCUAGAUGUUGGAUGUCACUCCUGGAAAAAAAAAAAUCUAUCUGUUAAAUGGGGAUGCUAUCUUUUGUACCUCCCUGAUUUGUUGUGAGGGGAGCACCUCUGCAAACUUUUAUUAAUUCUAGGUGUAUUUAUUAUUAUGUUGCAGAUAUGCUUUCUAAAAUCCAUUUCAUGUAAAACUUGUGCAGGGGUGUUGUUCUAGGUCACAGAACAGGGUGGCUGAAGUUCUACUAAAUCAAAGUUAAUACUCUACAAAGUCUCUCCCUAGAAAGAGAAACUAGCAGACACCCAAACAGGCAGCUCUGAAUUACUGCCCGAAUGGUAAGGGCUUCAUAUUUCAAUGAUCAGGGGUAUGGUCCAAUCAGCAAACAAACCCUAUGUACUGCUAGGGAUCAGCAAAUAGGCUGUGUCCCAGCCAUGCACAUGACUCAAUUUGCUUCUGUCCAUCAUCUAGGUCAUAUGUAGUUCAAUUGAAGUAGAGCAGACAGACAGGGCUGCAAAGCUCUCUGGGGCAGUUCAAUACCCUUGUCUAGCCUAUAUCUGACUACCUAUUUUUCCCCCUUUCUUCUUUCUGGACAAACUCACAGCUCCAUCUUUCUCUUCACUGAAUCCCAGACUGGCCAGGAGUUCCCAGUCACUCACAAGAGAUUCAGAGAAGUUGUUCUCAAUCUGUGCCAGCUUGAAGUUUGUUUCCUUUUUUGUGUAUGUGUUGUAUUGGCUGCUUUUUUUUCCUCCCCAUUUUGACAGAGAUCCAACUGUUCUUUAAAAAAAAAAAAAAAAAAAAUCUUGCAUAACAGUUCGGGACUACUUCGAUUCUUUGCCUAGAAUUCAGGUCAUUUGCUGGCUGCCCACCACUCCCAUAGUUGAAGUAGAAGAGGCAUUCCUCUAAGGAAAAAAUUGUUACACCCAGCAACAUGUGAUGUCCUGGAG